GCAGAUAUCAGGAGGAACACCGAUGGCGAAGGCAGUUCUCUGGGCCGUAACUGACGCUGAGGAGCGAAAGCGUGGGGAGCGAACAGGAUUAGAUACCCUGGUAGUCCACGCCGUAAACGUUGGGCGCUAGAUGUGGGGACCAUUCCACGGUUUCCGUGUCGCAGCUAACGCAUUAAGCGCCCCGCCUGGGGAGUACGGCCGCAAGGCUAAAACUCAAAGGAAUUGACGGGGGCCCGCACAARCGGCGGAGCAUGCGGAUUAAUUYGAUGCAACGCGAAGAACCUUACCAAGGCUUGACAUACACGAGAACGGGCCAGAAAUGGUCAACUCUUUGGACACUCGUGAACAGGUGGUGCAUGGUUGUCGUCAGCUCGUGUCGUGAGAUGUUGGGUUAAGUCCCGCAACGAGCGCAACCCUCGUUCUAUGUUGCCAGCGCGUAAUGGCGGGAACUCAUAGGAGACUGCCGGGGUCAACUCGGAGGAAGGUGGGGAUGACGUCAAAUCAUCAUGCCCCUUAUGUCUUGGGCUUCACGCAUGCUACAAUGGCCGGUACAAAGGGCUGCAAUACCGUAAGGUGGAGCGAAUCCCAAAAAGCCGGUCUCAGUUCGGAUUGAGGUCUGCAACUCGACCUCAUGAAGUCGGAGUCGCUAGUAAUCGCAGAUCAGCAACGCUGCGGUGAAUACGUUCCCGGGCCUUGUACACACCGA
This 706-nucleotide ribosomal RNA is filed under the name Leifsonia sp. SCMS4. RNAcentral's name for it is "bacterial SSU rRNA". It matches the Rfam family "Bacterial small subunit ribosomal RNA", at positions 690 to 1393 of the family's 1533-position model. Lineage: Bacteria; Bacillati; Actinomycetota; Actinomycetes; Micrococcales; Microbacteriaceae. The record is from RNAcentral.